GAUGAACGCUGGCGGCGUGCCUAGUACAUGCAAGUCGAGCGAACAGACGAGGAGCUUGCUCCUCUGACGUUAGCGGCGGACGGGUGAGUAACACGUGGAUAACCUACCUAUAAGACUGGGAUAACUUCGGGAAACCGGAGCUAAUACCGGAUAAUAUAUUGAACCGCAUGGUUCAAUAGUGAAAGACGGUUUUGUUGUCACUUAUAGAUGGAUCCGCGCCGCAUUAGCUAGUUGGUAAGGUAACGGCUUACCAAGGCAACGAUGCGUAGCCGACCUGAGAGGGUGAUCGGCCACACUGGAACUGAGACACGGUCCAGACUCCUACGGGAGGCAGCAGUAGGGAAUCUUCCGCAAUGGGCGAAAGCCUGACGGAGCAACGCCGCGUGAGUGAUGAAGGUCUUCGGAUCGUAAAACUCUGUUAUUAGGGAAGAACAAAUGUGUAAGUAACUAUGCACGUCUUGACGGUACCUAAUCAGAAAGCCACGGCUAACUACGUG
RNAcentral lists this ribosomal RNA (497 nucleotides) under uncultured bacterium. Its description in RNAcentral is "partial 16S ribosomal RNA". It matches the Rfam family "Bacterial small subunit ribosomal RNA", at positions 28 to 507 of the family's 1533-position model. The record is from RNAcentral.